CAGUUCGGACUGUGGUCUGCAACCCGACCACACGAAGCUGGAAUCGCUAGUAAUCGCGAAUCAGAAUGUCGCGGUGAAUACGUUCCCGGGUCUUGUACACACCGCCCGUCACACCAUGGGAGUCAGCAACGCCCGAAGCCAGUGACCUAACCGAAAGGGAGGAGCUGCCGAAGGCGGGGCCGGUAACUGGGGUGAAGUCGUAACAAGGUAUC
RNAcentral lists this ribosomal RNA (212 nucleotides) under uncultured bacterium. Its description in RNAcentral is "partial 16S ribosomal RNA". It matches the Rfam family "Bacterial small subunit ribosomal RNA", at positions 1289 to 1500 of the family's 1533-position model. The record is from RNAcentral.